GUUAGAUGGCAAAUUAACCCAUAUUAUUAGUAAAUAUUAUUUGAGUUUCAAUGUAGAUAAAUAAUCAGCAAUGAUAACAUAUGCAUAGCAUUCGUUUUUCGCCAGAAGGCCCAUUUUCGCAAGCAGCACUUGGCGCUAGUUUAUUCAGUUUGAGACAAUAGGCUUUACACUUAUUGGCAUCGCAUGGAUUACUUUUGUUUCGUAAAAUUUCACCACAUUUUCUGUCACCUUUUGCUGUCGAAAUCGUCGUUUCUCCUGUUAUUAUAAUAACUAAAAUAUAACCUUAGUUUUCAUAUUUAAAAUAAAAAAUCAAUUUUUGUAAAAUAUAUGUUUAGAGUUUUUAUGCAUAUUUAUAUUAAAAAAAUUGAAAGUCUAAAUAUCUUCUAUUUUAAUCUUUCAUUAUUCUUGAAAAAUCAUUAAACUCAAUAAUAUAGAAUUAAACAUAUAAUCUAUGUAGUUACCCUUAGUGAGUUUAUAUUUAUAAUUUAUUAUGUAAUUAAAAAUAAAAAAAAUAUUUUAAAAUAAUGAUAAUUCUUAUCUAUAUUGGGUUAUUAUCUGGAAAAUGAUAUUUAUAUUAUAAAAUUUAAUAUAUUAAGAUACAAAAAAAUCAAACAAAAAUAUUUGUAUAAAGAUAUUUUCUAAACUAUUUCUAAUAUAUGAGUGUUUUCCAUUUGUAUAAACAUAUAUAUUUUGAUGAAAAACUAGUAUAUAUAAAUAAUUUGAUUUUUAAACUUUUCGAGAACAUUUAAAUUAAUAAAAGAUAAACUAAUAAGUAUUUGUACAAAGAUUAUGCCCUUAUGUGCGGGUAAAACACCUAGUAUAAAAUAAAUGAUAGCAAAUAAAUUUAUUUUUUAAUGAUUAUUCAAUAUUAUUAAUAAAGCAAUAAAUGUAAAUACAAACCGAGCAGAAGAAUUGUGAGCAUAAAGAAACCAAUAAACCAAGGUUUGAAAGUAACUUUCAUCUUCGAUAAUGAAAUAAUGGUGUUUCAAAAAAAGACAAAGAAGUAUAUUUAUAACUGAAUCACAAAUUGAAACAUGUCUAAUUUAAGCAUACAUCUUUUUAAAUUCCGAUAUAAAAGGAUAUAGUUUGACCAAAAAAUUACAAUCACUGAUUUUUUAUUUAUUUAAUAAAAAAUUAACUUAUUUAUAUUUAACUUUAUUUAAAAUAUUUUUGAUAUGCAUAAACAAUCAUAUUCGUUUUACUCUUAGAUUCAGAAUUUAUGUAAUGUAUAUUUAGAAAAGAAACAUAAAGAUAAUUGAGAAAUUGCAAUUUGAUCUAAUCUUACAAUACUAAAAGGAGGAUAUGAGCUUCAUUGAACCUAUCCACGUAUGCAUGAAAAAUCAACCAAUGAGAAACAUUCUUUUUGCCACGCUACUUGCUUUGUCAACUAAAAAAUCAAAUUAGGCUUUCGUAGUUCCAAAAAUUUAACUCUGGCCCAAAUUUGCUUUAUCACUAGAAAUCCACCAUUCAUCCAAUCGCCUUCUUCGCCUCUCCACCUUCUUUUUCUUUUUAAUCAAAUUUAGCUUUUCCACCUUCUCUGAACCUCCUUUGGAACGUCACCUUUCCACAUUGAUAAAUCUUAAAGCCCCCUUAUUAUCUGAAACAAUAAAUGUCUAUUCAACUCUUGCCAUUCCCUAAAACUUAUAGCUACAUAUAUUUAUUUUCCAAAUCUCUGCGCUUCGACUAAUUCUCCACAACAAAAUCAUCAGGGAGUGGAGAUCAGUCGCAACUGUUCCUGCCGAUUUACAAUCUCAGGUUGGAUAGUUUUCAUAUAAAAGGGUCUAUUCUUCCGGAGAAGAAUCAAACGUUUCUUUUUCAGAGGUAGUACCACGAAAUUGGAGACUCAGUUUAAUUUUACGGCUUCAAAUUGCAGUCUGAGGUCCGGUGAACCUUAUUCAGUAAUGAUCUUCUUGCUAAGACAAUAUCCAUAUUAUAAUUUUGUUUGAUUUUGGGUUAUCUCUGUUCCUCAGGCCUGCUAUUUUCUUUAUGCUGAAAUAUUUGUUUUCCUGCGAUAUAUUGUUGUCUGAAAUAGAAAACUUCACGGAUGCGGUUGGGAGUCCAUUCUCCGUUUCGGCUGAAGUUUUGACCAAGGACUACGAUCCAGAAUCACUUAUUUGGAGCGAUGAUUGAAAUGCCACUCUGGCUCCAGCUUCGGUUUGGGAUAAACGUAAGAAGAAAUCUUUGUCUGAAAGGCUUAAUAUCUGAUAAGAAAGAUGCUCGAGAGAGACCCAAAUGAAGUCUUAAUGCUCAACAAGUCUUGCGUAAGUAGGAUUAUGAACUCCAUAGCUUAAGAAGAUAUGUAACUUAAUCUUGGUUUAUUUAGUUUUUUGUCAGGCCUUCCAUCGAUAAGGGACACACCGUCAUGAGUCGCUUGAAGAAGUUUUCAGCUAACCGUCUAUGAUAAACCAAAGUAACACAAACCAAAUUAUCAUAAUUGGAACUGUGUGAACGUUUUUUUUUUGGGAUUAGUCUUUGAUAUUGGAGUUUUAAUUAGUGUUUUUGUGAAAACAAGUGUUUGAUUUAAAGUUUAUUUAUUUUUUAUUCUGGAUCGAAUAGGUUUUUCACACAAUAUUUGUCCGGUCUCAUAUUUUCUUAACUAUUGUUUUUAGCUAUUAUAAUGUGCUAUGGUAUUUGUUUUAUAGUUUGCAGGAGGUGACGACACCGUUGGUUGGGUUCUUGGAUGUCUUGGAGAGUUUAACAAAGAAAAAACAUCACCAAUUACUCAUGUUGACAUUAUCACUCUCUGUCAAGGAGUUUUGGUUGGUUAAGUGAAUCAUUCUUCUCUCUUGUGUCAUCAUCACCAGUCUUUUAACAAAUUGCCUUUAGAGAUUGUUUUUUUUCCUCUUCAAAAAAUAGUGAUAUAUUGGUUUAAAAGCUAUCCUCAGUUGUGCAACCCACACUUUGGUAAAAUGCAUAACAACUGCAUCUUUGUAAACUCUCUUUAUUGAGCCAGUGAUCGAACAGUCCUUGCUAACAAAGGAACAUAAUGAGGUUUUAGAGUACCCACAAGUUAUCAACGUCAUGAAUGUGCUAUAUAUAUAUAUUUUAUUUACAAAUAUGAACAUAGGGCAAUUUGAUUUUUCCGGAAUGCUAUCUUUCAGCUGUUACUAUAAGAUGAAGCAAAAAUUUGAUCCCCAACAUGUCAAUGAGAUGUUUAAGAAUCAGUUUAUAUAGUUAUGAAUUAAGCAUUGGAGACUA
This is a long non-coding RNA of Brassica napus (rape), 3198 nucleotides long. RefSeq lists it as uncharacterized. The record is from RefSeq and is a predicted model, not a curated record. The transcript is spliced from 2 exons. Lineage: Eukaryota; Viridiplantae; Streptophyta; Magnoliopsida; Brassicales; Brassicaceae.